GGAGGAGGACGACGACGACGACGAGGAAGAAGAGAGAGUGGUUAGUGGAAGAGCAGUUAGCUAGGUGUCGACGGUCCAUUAGAGCGUCUCUCACACUUGCAAUCCAAUAGCGUUUUAAUGAUCCAGAGUGAAGAAUCGACAGCCCCGGUUUUACGAUAACCGGCGGAGGCUGCCUAUAAUCUAACGCCCAAUUCGAGUAAGGGUAAAUUGGAUAUUAUAAUUUUUUUUACUUUGGAAAAAAACAAAGUUACCAUAUAUACCCUCCAUUCAGAAGUCCUUAUUUGCUGGACCUGCCCAUCGUUCCAGUCCAAUCCAUUCCAAGCCAAUUUUGGGACGGAGCCGAAUGUUCGUGAUCGCGAAAGAGUAUGAACAGAAAUUGGAUUGACUUUAAGCGUUCCUUGCUGGUUUGAGUUCAAG
Molecule: unclassified non-coding RNA, 417 nt
Filed under: Hevea brasiliensis (rubber tree)
Lineage: Eukaryota; Viridiplantae; Streptophyta; Magnoliopsida; Malpighiales; Euphorbiaceae
Source: RNAcentral